UUUAGAGUAAAAGAAAAAGAGCAGCACAACCAGAACCCAGCUGCUUUUCUAUAAAGAGUGACACAUCCAUGCCAGAACCCCUUAGUUUUGGAGAUGGAGCAGUGACCUUUGAGACCAGAAGAAAAAGAGCAGCACAACCAGAACCCAGCUGCUUUUCUAUAAAGAGUAACACAUCCAUGCCAGAACCCCUUAGUUUUGGAGAUGGAGCAGUGACCUUUAAGCUCAGAGAUGAUGAGAUUGGAGACCUGCACAAGGAUUCUCAACAACCAAUACAUGAUGAAUUACAA
Puntigrus tetrazona (Sumatra barb) is the source of this 287-nucleotide long non-coding RNA. RefSeq lists it as uncharacterized. The transcript is spliced from 3 exons. The record is from RefSeq and is a predicted model, not a curated record. Lineage: Eukaryota; Metazoa; Chordata; Actinopteri; Cypriniformes; Cyprinidae.